GGUUAAUCUAAUUUUCUUUGAUUAUCAAAGAUAGAAGGAAACUAUAAAAAAGACAAAUAUCAUCGAGAAACGAUCUACGACGACCAAAAUGGUCAGUCGACUCUUAAAUUAUAGUCAUGAUAGUAGCUAUCGUCACUGAAUAAAGAAAUUUACCAAUUUCAUUGCGAGGAGGGAAUAAUGUUGAAACGAAGAAUUGAUAUGCAUAAUAUGGGAAACGGUAAGCAGCAC
This 228-nucleotide long non-coding RNA is filed under the name Mytilus galloprovincialis (Mediterranean mussel). The record is from RNAcentral. Lineage: Eukaryota; Metazoa; Mollusca; Bivalvia; Mytilida; Mytilidae.